UAGGGAAUCUUCGGCAAUGGGGGGAACCCUGACCGAGCAACGCCGCGUGAGUGAAGAAGGUUUUCGGAUCGUAAAGCUCUGUUGUUAAGGAAGAACGAGUGUGAGAAUGGAAAGUUCAUACUGUGACGGUACUUAACCAGAAAGGGACGGCUAACUACGUGCCAGCAGCCGCGGUAAUACGUAGGUCCCGAGCGUUGUCCGGAUUUAUUGGGCGUGGAGUAAAGCGAGCGCAGGCGGUUAGAUAAGUCUGAAGUUAAAGGCAGUGGCUCAACCAUUGUAGGCUUUGGAAACUGUUUAACUUGAGUGCAGAAGGGGGAGAGUGGAAUUCCAUGUGUAGCGGUGAAAUGCGUAGAUAUAUGGAGGAACACCGGUGGCGAAAGCGGCUCUCUGGUCUGUAACUGACGCUGAGGCUCGAAAGCGUGGGGAGCGAACAGGAUUAGAUACCCUGGUAGUCCACGCCGUAAACGAUGAGUGCUAGGUGUUAGGUCCUUUCCGGGACUUAGUGCCGCAGCUAACGCAUUAAGCACUCCGCCUGGGGAGUACGACCGCAAGGUUG
Molecule: ribosomal RNA, 556 nt
Filed under: uncultured bacterium
Lineage: Bacteria
Description: bacterial SSU rRNA
Rfam family: Bacterial small subunit ribosomal RNA
Source: RNAcentral